RNAcentral lists this ribosomal RNA (481 nucleotides) under uncultured bacterium. Its description in RNAcentral is "partial 16S ribosomal RNA". It matches the Rfam family "Bacterial small subunit ribosomal RNA", at positions 28 to 507 of the family's 1533-position model. The record is from RNAcentral.
GAUGAACGCUGGCGGCGUGCCUAACACAUGCAAGUCGAACGGAGAUUACGGACGGAAGUUUUCGGAUGGAAGCCUGUAAUUCUUAGUGGCGGACGGGUGAGUAACGCGUGGGCAACCUGCCCUAUACAGGGGGAUAGCAGCUGGAAACGGCUGGUAAGACCGCAUAAGUCGGUUAAAUCGCAUGAUUUGAUCGGGAAAUGAGCAAUCAGGUAUAGGAUGGGCCCGCGUCCGAUUAGCCAGUUGGCAGGGUAAAAGCCUACCAAAGCGACGAUCGGUAGCCGGACUGAGAGGUCGGACGGCCACAUUGGGACUGAGACACGGCCCAAACUCCUACGGGAGGCAGCAGUGGGGGAUAUUGCACAAUGGAGGAAACUCUGAUGCAGCGACGCCGCGUGAGUGAAGAAGUAUUUCGGUAUGUAAAGCUCUAUCAGCAGGGAAGAUGAUGACGGUACCUGGCGAAGAAGCCCCGGCUAACUACGUG